UUUUUUGGUGGUGGUGGUGUGGUAUGCAGGAGUGGGAGCCACAACUAUAAUCAGUUUUUGCUCUAAAACGUCUUAUUACAUUCCGAGGUAUUAACAAUGGGCAUGACUGCCCUCAGCUUGAUUGUGCCUCAGCAAACCUGAGUCCUAAUCAGCCUUUUGUACACAGAGGUCUUUUAAUUUUUGUUUACUUUCUGAGGGGGGGUGAUGGGAGGCAGUUGCCACUGCCAAUCCUCAAGAUCCCCACAUUUCUGGACUGUCUCUGGCCCAUUCCACCUCUGCUUGCUAAGUGACCAAUUCUUUUCUGAGCACAUCAGUAUCUUGUACUAUGUUGCCAGACGCAGCCCACAGUAGUCACUGUAUAAUACUAACAAUCUGUUUUCAAACCUCCUCUCAGAUAUGCAAGUUUCAGGGACUUUAUCUGCUUCUAAGCUGUCACAGGCAACAAUUUUCAAAUAUUUUGCCACUUGUAAUAUGGAUUGCUUGUAAAGUUUCUUCAUUGCACAUCAUUUGGCCCCAAUCCAAUGCCACAAAUUUUAGGUUUUUGGUUAUAGCAGCUCCUCAUUUCUGGGUAGUACUGCUGAAUUGGUUCAGAUAAACUAGAUUAUGCCAUGCCAUGCCACCAAACAGAUAAACCCCCAUAUAUCAGAGGAUUAGAACAACAAAAGAUGGUUUAUCACUCAUGCUACAUUUAUAUUUCUUUGGCUGGGCUCCAUGUCAUCUCACUCUGGAACCCACCUUACUUGGACAGAGCAGCCACCAUCCUGAGCACUGGCCAUUGUGGCCCUGGUAAGGAAGGACACAAGGAAGGGGCUUCCUUCACAUUUGAUGUAAUGUUUUAGUCUAGAAGGGAUACACAUUACUUCUGUGUACAAAUCCUUGGUCAGAACUCUUGCCUGCUCUAACCACAAGAGAGCUGGAGAGCACAAUCUCCCAUUCCUGAAAGGUAGAGAACUAGAGACAUCUGGGAAACAGCACUGGUGACUUUUUUCAGUAGUGGACUGCCACAAAGAAGCAGGCUGCAAAAGUGUGAUACUAACAGGCUCUCUCAGGAUCCUCCCUGAAUGAUAAGGAAUUCUUUAUAGAUUUAUUUCUUGGCAUGGUUAGUCAUUUCCUAAGGCUGUUGAUUUGCAUGGCACAGAUGUCUAAUGCAUUCCUUUUCCAAUAUACAGCUUCACUCAAGUGAAAGCUGUUAGAUUUUUCUCUAGUGGAUUCCAGAGUAUCACCAUUACCAUCACCAUUUUGUAGUUGAUAUCACUAUCAUUGUCUUCGUCAUCAUCAUCAUCCUCCUCCUCAAAAUUUUGGCUAAGUAAUUAAAUAUAAAUGAUGCUUAUCUGUAGGAUAUGCACUUGCAUUUGUCCUUCCCCUGUCCACUCUGGUCCCGGAGAAUGCCUAGAAGGAGGAAAAUGGUCAUGGUGCUUCCAAAAACUAGAUUAGUAGAAGGGGAUUCUAGGACUAAGACUUACCCUAUCAAGGGUCAGAAGAGGACUGCAAACAGUUUAUAAGACUAGUGGACGCUACUGACAGGAAAUUUCAAGUCAUUGAUUUCUUUUUAAUCUAAUUCUUAGGUGACCAAAUUUCUGUGUGUGUGUGUGUGUGUGUGU
RNAcentral lists this long non-coding RNA (1601 nucleotides) under Canis lupus familiaris (dog). Its description in RNAcentral is "lncRNA (ENSCAFG00845030447.1)". The record is from RNAcentral. Lineage: Eukaryota; Metazoa; Chordata; Mammalia; Carnivora; Canidae.